This 141-nucleotide microRNA precursor is filed under the name Equus asinus (donkey). Its description in RNAcentral is "miRNA (ENSEASG00005027025.1, ENSEASG00020034277.1)". The stretch from base 34 to 108 matches the Rfam family "mir-1249 microRNA precursor family". Lineage: Eukaryota; Metazoa; Chordata; Mammalia; Perissodactyla; Equidae. The record is from RNAcentral. RNAcentral also lists the same sequence under 1 other name.
GUCCCAGCUCAUCUUGUUCCUCAGAUUCUUGUUUGCGUGGGGAGGAGGGAGGAGAUGGGCCAAGUUCCCUCUGCCUGGAACGCCCUUCCCCCCCUUCUUCACCUGGCGAACUCCUACUCGUCCUUCAAGACCCAGCUCAAG